AGAACGAACGCUGGCGGCAGGCCUAACACAUGCAAGUCGAACGAGCUGAGACCUUCGGGUCUCUAUGCUAGUGGCGCACGGGUGAGUAACGCGUGGGAAUAUGCCCUUUAGUACGGAAUAACCCAGGGAAACUUGGGCUAAUACCGUAUACGCCCUUCGGGGGAAAGAUUUAUCGCUAAAGGAUUAGCCCGCGUCUGAUUAGGUAGUUGGUGAGGUAACGGCUCACCAAGCCGACGAUCAGUAGCUGGUCUGAGAGGAUGAUCAGCCACACUGGGACUGAGACACGGCCCAGACUCCUACGGGAGGCAGCAGUGGGGAAUAUUGGACAAUGGGCGAAAGCCUGAUCCAGCCAUGCCGCGUGAGUGAAGAGGCCUUCGGUUGUAAGCUCUUUCGACGGGGACGAUGAUGACGGUACCCGUAUAAGAAGCCCCGGCUAACUCGCGCCAGCAGCCGC
This 454-nucleotide ribosomal RNA is filed under the name uncultured bacterium. Its description in RNAcentral is "SSU rRNA". It matches the Rfam family "Bacterial small subunit ribosomal RNA", at positions 26 to 518 of the family's 1533-position model. The record is from RNAcentral.